This 89-nucleotide small nucleolar RNA is filed under the name Erythranthe guttata (spotted monkey flower). Lineage: Eukaryota; Viridiplantae; Streptophyta; Magnoliopsida; Lamiales; Phrymaceae. The record is from RNAcentral.
AGCAGUCUGUGAUGAAUUUAUUAAAAAAACUAGCUGAUUUUUCCAGUGAUUAUCAUAAAUAUAUUCACCAUCUUUCGGCUGAGACUGUU